RNAcentral lists this ribosomal RNA (484 nucleotides) under uncultured bacterium. RNAcentral describes it as "partial 16S ribosomal RNA". It matches the Rfam family "Bacterial small subunit ribosomal RNA", at positions 30 to 507 of the family's 1533-position model. The record is from RNAcentral.
AUUGAACGCUGGCGGCAGGCCUAACACAUGCAAGUCGAGCGGAUGAAGGGAGCUUGCUCCUGGAUUCAGCGGCGGACGGGUGAGUAAUGCCUAGGAAUCUGCCUGGUAGUGGGGGAUAACGUCCGGAAACGGGCGCUAAUACCGCAUACGUCCUGAGGGAGAAAGUGGGGGAUCUUCGGACCUCACGCUACCAGAUGAGCCUAGGUCGGAUUAGCUAGUUGGUGGGGUAAAGGCCUACCAAGGCGACGAUCCGUAACUGGUCUGAGAGGAUGAUCAGUCACACUGGAACUGAGACACGGUCCAGACUCCUACGGGAGGCAGCAGUGGGGAAUAUUGGACAAUGGGCGAAAGCCUGAACCAGCCAUGCCGCGUGUGUGAAGAAGGUCUUCGGAUUGUAAAGCACUAUAAGUUGGGAGGAAGGGCAGUAAGUUAAUACCUUGCUGUUUUGACGUUACCAACAGAAUAAGCACCGGCUAACUUCGUG